UGCAGUCGAACGAGAAAGUUUCCUUCGGGAAACCAGUAAAGUGGCGCAAGGGUGAGUAACACGUGAAUAAUCUGCCUACGAAUUCGGGAUAACUCGACGAAAGUUGUGCUAAUACCGGAUAAGACCACACUUCUUAUGGAGCGUGGCCAAAGGAGUCUCAAACUCCGUUUGUAGAUGAGUUCGCGGACCAUUAGCUUGUUGGCGGGAUAACAGCCCACCAAGGCGACGAUGGUUAGCCGGCCUGAGAGGGUGAUCGGCCACACUGGAACUGAGACACGGUCCAGACUCCUACGGGAGGCAGCAGUGGGGAAUAUUGCGCAAUGGGCGAAAGCCUGACGCAGCAACGCCGUGUGAGGGAUGAAGGCUUUUGAGUCGUAAACCUCUGUCAGAUGGGAAGAAUAAUGACGGUACCAUCAGAGGAAGCCCCGGCUAACUCCGUGCCAGCAGCCGCGGUAAUACGGAGGGAGCAAGCGUUGUUCGGAUUUACUGGGCGUAAAGCGCGCGCAGGCGGGCGGAUAAGUCGGACGUGAAAAUUGUGGGCUCAACCUACAACCUGCGUCUGAAACUGUUCGUCUUGAGUACAGGAGAGGUGAGUGGAAUCUAUGGUGUAGCGGUGAAAUGCGUA
Molecule: ribosomal RNA, 625 nt
Filed under: uncultured bacterium
Lineage: Bacteria
Description: bacterial SSU rRNA
Rfam family: Bacterial small subunit ribosomal RNA
Source: RNAcentral